UACACACCGCCCGUCACACCAUGGGAGUGGGUUUCACCAGAAGUAGGUAGUCUAACCGCAAGUAGGACGCUUACCACGGUGAGAUUCAUGACUGGGGUG
RNAcentral lists this ribosomal RNA (99 nucleotides) under uncultured bacterium. Its description in RNAcentral is "partial 16S ribosomal RNA". It matches the Rfam family "Bacterial small subunit ribosomal RNA", at positions 1384 to 1482 of the family's 1533-position model. The record is from RNAcentral.